This is a long non-coding RNA of Homo sapiens (human), 1907 nucleotides long. Ensembl annotates it as long intergenic non-protein coding RNA 927. Lineage: Eukaryota; Metazoa; Chordata; Mammalia; Primates; Hominidae. The record is from Ensembl.
UGGAAGCUUGGCGCUCACUCAGCUCCCAGAAGUUCUCAGAGGGUGAGGGUCCCACAUCUCCUGCAGGACAGGCCCUAGCUACUGAGUCACAGAAACCCAGGGCCGAAGCAAAGUCCCAAUCCCAGAGAGGCUGGGGCACACCUACAACUGAAAGGAGGCUUAGAAAUCCUUCAGAGACCACCCUAUCGGUUCUCCUCCACCUGGACAGGAUGAGCCAGCAACACAGAAGGAAGAGGCCUUCCUCCGAAAGGUAUAUUUGUAAGCCGAGUUGAAUGCUUUGUGGAGAGAGCCCCUAAAAUGGAGCCUGGCAGAUAACAAGCACGAGAUAAACACCAGCUGACUCCACGGAUGGAGGGCACGUGGACGGACUGGGUAUGCAGAAGAGACUCUCUGACUGCAGACUCGGCUGCCACACAUAGAAAUGUCUGCUCCCUGGACCCUCAGACUGCCUCGGUCCCUCCCCCGUGAAACCCACUCCACCAUUUCCACGCACACUCCCAUGCUGUCACCCUCAGGAAGCAUCAUGACAGCUUGAUGCUGGCAGCAACUGUCCAUGAAGAGGGGAAGAGUGACAAUGCAGGAAAGAGAAGAAGACUCAAGACACAAAGUCCUCAGGGGGCGAGGGUCACCUCCUUCUACCAGGCCAGAGAGCAGAACGUGUGGGAACAAGGGCAGGCAAGCUCGUGGAGGUGGUGGUUGAAAGGUGAGAAUUGGAAUAUAAUUUCCAUCCAGGGAAGGAAGUGUCCCCUUUAGAGUAACAACACCUUGGGCACACCAUUAACAAAUGACAGACUUGGGCUCUGCUGCUCAGAGAACUGAAGUCAGAGGAUAGCACAUGCAUUCUUAGCUGAGAAGUUCAUAAGAGCUAUAAGAACCUGUGUGAUGUUUCCUGGAAAGUACUCGGGAACAGGAAUCAGGAAACCUGAGUUUGAGUCCCUUUCUUGCCACCAAAUCCAUCAUCAGAUGACACUUGAACAUGCCUCUCAAAGGAUGAGAUUAGGCAAGAUCAUCUCUCUACCAAACCCUCUUCUCUCACUUCCCAAGAAGAGAGAUUGCCUGGCCCUGCUUGAAUGUCAUGAACAGGUGUGCUGGGGGGUCUAGUCUGGACCAGGUAGCUCCCACCAGGACAGAGCUGCCAACUGCACAUGGAGACCCUGAAGCUUUUUUGGCCUUUAACCAGCUCCUGAGCUGCUGCAACUCACAGAGAAAGGAAAUAGCAUAAUGGGCCAAUGACAAGUUAUAUAAUUUGGUUGAAACUUCAAACAACAGGACCCAUAUGGAUAGGAAAUUAUUUUAAAUGGACUCAAAUGUCUAAUUUACAUAAUCUAUGUUUCUUGUUCAUAUUUGCACCCAGUGGGUGGUUAUAUGAAUAUUUGAAUACUUGAUGACUGAUUAAUAGAAUAUAAUUUGCCAGGACCCUUCACUGUUGAGAAGGGUUUGAACGAACUGCCUUUUUUUUUCUUACCCCAUAUAUGGAAGAAAGUAAAAAAGUUUCAGAAUGAGUUUAGGAUAAUUAUACUACAUCUUAAAUGUUUACAUUUACCAAAACGACACACAAACGCAACACAUCUUAUGUAUAAGCCUCAUUUGGAGUCCGUGUCCAAGGUCCUCUGUGAGGUCCUUGGUGACCCUGGUCCUGACAUUCAUCCUCCCCUACAUGUCAGGGUCUGUUAUUUACAUCUUACAGUUUGGCUACAAAUCCUCCAGCUAAAACUCUUACCAGAUCGGCCAUCAGAAGACCAAGCAUGACUCCCCACCCUCAACUUUGUUCCUCCCUCAACGCGUCACUUUGGGCAGCGUAUUCCCUGGGCCUGGAAAAGGAAAGGAUUGCCUUUCGAUGAACCCCAGCAACGUAACUAAGUUCACUUUUGACUCCUGAUAGGCUUUUUCAUCAAGAAUUUUAAUUU